RNAcentral lists this unclassified non-coding RNA (79 nucleotides) under Xaviernesmea oryzae. RNAcentral describes it as "Rhizobium oryzae suhB". The stretch from base 1 to 70 matches the Rfam family "Alphaproteobacterial ar15", at positions 44 to 112 of the family's 112-position model. The record is from RNAcentral. Lineage: Bacteria; Pseudomonadati; Pseudomonadota; Alphaproteobacteria; Hyphomicrobiales; Rhizobiaceae.
AGCUGUUCCCCUCUGGAGGUUUCAAACCUUCACACCUGAUAGGCCCCGGCACACGCUGUGGGCCUUUUUUUUGUCCGUC